GGCAAAAGCUGGCAAAGAAAGUGUGUAGCAUUUUCAUGGAGUUUUUUCCCAUGAAGUCAAUGAAGAGGGUUCAAAACGUUGGCAUUUUCUGAUCUGUGGAAUAUCUUUUAGGUUGUUGUUUUUUUUGUAACUUGUUGAGGAAUUGAAGUAUCCAAAGUUCAAUCUUGUUGAAUAGACUGUAGAAAUGGGUGGUUGUUUUAGCAAGAAGUAUACCCAACAAGAUGCUAAUGGGCAUAGGGCAGGAAGAAGAGUUAAUCAAGCAUAUCAAAAACCACCACAACCCCAGCCAGAAAGGCCAUAUCAGCCUCAGCCCCAGCAGGAAAGGCCAUAUCAGCCACCGCCACAGCCAGCAUAUCAGCCACCGCCACAGCCAAAGCCACAACCUCAGCCCCACCCUGUUCCUGUUACUGUGCAGUCUGGACAGCCCCAAGACCAAAUGCAAGGACCCCAUAUGAAUAACAUAUUGGGAAAGCCUUUUGAGGAAAUUAGAAAGCUCUAUACACUUGGGAAAGAAUUGGGUAGGGGUCAGUUUGGAGUGACUUACUAUUGUACUGAGAACUCAACUGGGAACCCUUAUGCUUGCAAGUCCAUACUUAAGAGGAAGCUUGUAAGCAAGAAUGAUAGGGAGGAUAUGAAGAGGGAAAUUCAGAUUAUGCAGCAUUUGAGUGGGCAGCCAAACAUUGUGGAAUUCAAGGGUGCUUAUGAAGAUAGGCAGUCAGUACACCUUGUGAUGGAACUUUGUGCUGGAGGAGAGUUGUUUGACAGGAUUAUCGCCCGUGGAUAUUACUCAGAGAAGGAUGCUGCUGAGAUUAUUAGACAGAUUGUAAAUGUUGUUAACAUUUGCCAUUUCAUGGGUGUCAUGCAUAGGGAUCUCAAGCCAGAGAAUUUCUUACUGACUAGUAAGGAUGAAAAUGCUAUGUUGAAGGCAAC
RNAcentral lists this unclassified non-coding RNA (930 nucleotides) under Hevea brasiliensis (rubber tree). The record is from RNAcentral. Lineage: Eukaryota; Viridiplantae; Streptophyta; Magnoliopsida; Malpighiales; Euphorbiaceae.